AGAGUUUGAUACUGGCUCAGAACGAACGCUGGCGGCGUGCUUAACACAUGCAAGUCGAACGCGAAAGAGUUCUUCGGAACUUGAGUAGAGUGGCGCACGGGUGAGUAACGCGUAAGUAAUCUACCCUGGUAUCUGGGAUAACCCACCGAAAGGUGUGCUAAUACCGGAUACGCUGAUUUAUCAGGAAAGGUGGCCUCUUCAUGAAAGCUACUGUACUAGGAGGAGCUUGCGUACCAUUAGCUAGUUGGUAGGGUAAUGGCCUACCAAGGCGACGAUGGUUAGCGGGUCUGAGAGGAUGAUCCGCCACACUGGAACUGGAACACGGACCAGACUCCUACGGGAGGCAGCAGUGAGGAAUAUUGCGCAAUGGGGGAAACCCUGACGCAGCGACGCCGCGUGGAUGAUCAAGGCCUUCGGGUCGUAAAAUCCUGUCAGAUGGAAAGAAAUGCAUAUUUAUUAAUACUGAAUAUGUUUGACGGUACCAUCAAAGGAAGCACCGGCUAACUCCGUGCCAGCAGCCGCGGUAAUACGGGGGGUGCAAGCGUUAUUCGGAAUCAUUGGGCGUAAAGAGCACGUAGGCGGCCUGGUAAGUCAGACGUGAAAGCCCGGGGCUUAACCCCGGAAGUGCAUUUGAUACUGUCAGGCUUGAGUAUGGGAGAGGGAAGUGGAAUUCCUGGUGUAGAGGUGAAAUUCGUAGAUAUCAGGAGGAACACCGGUGGCGAAGGCGACUUCCUGGACCAAUACUGACGCUGAGGUGCGAAGGCGUGGGUAGCAAACAGGAUUAGAUACCCUGGUAGUCCACGCAGUAAACGUUGUUCACUAGGUGUAGCGGGUAUUGACCCCUGCUGUGCCGCAGUUAACGCAUUAAGUGAACCGCCUGGGGAGUACGGCCGCAAGGUUAAAACUCAAAGGAAUUGACGGGGGCCCGCACAAGCGGUGGAGCAUGUGGUUUAAUUCGACGCAACGCGAAGAACCUUACCUGGAUUUGACAUCCCGGGAAUCCUAUCGAAAGACUGGAGUGCCCUUCGGGGAGCCCGGAGACUGGUGCUGCAUGGCUGUCGUCAGCUCGUGUCGUUAGAUGUUGGGUUAAGUCCCGCAACGAGCGCAACCCUUGUCUUUAGUUACCAUCAUUCAGUUGGGGACUCUAAAGAUACUGCCCCGGUCAACGGGGAGGAAGGUGGGGAUGACGUCAAGUCCUCAUGGCCUUUAUGUCCAGGGCUACACACGUGCUACAAUGGGCUGUACAAAGGGUCGCGAACCCGCGGGGGUAAGCCAAUCCCAAAAAGCAGUCCCAAGUUCGGAUUGGAGUGCAACUCGACUCCAUGAAGCUGGAAUCGCUAGUAAUCGCGGAUCAGCAUGCCGCGGUGAAUACGUUCCCGGGCCUUGUACACACCGCCCGUCACACCAUGAGAGUUGGUUGUACCAGAAGUCGUCGGGCUAACCUUUCGAGGAUGCAGGCGCCUAAGGUAUGGCUGAUAAUUAGGGUGAAGUCGUAACAAGGUA
RNAcentral lists this ribosomal RNA (1503 nucleotides) under metagenome. Its description in RNAcentral is "bacterial SSU rRNA". It matches the Rfam family "Bacterial small subunit ribosomal RNA". The record is from RNAcentral.